UACGGAGGAUCCAAGCGUUAUCCGGAUUUAUUGGGUUUAAAGGGUGCGCAGGCGGAAUAAUAAGUCAGUGGUGAAAUCCUGCAGCUUAACUGCAGAACUGCCAUUGAUACUGUUAUUCUUGAGUAUAUUUGAAGUGGGCGGAAUGUGUCAUGUAGCGGUGAAAUGCUUAGAUAUGACACAGAACACCAAUUGCGAAGGCAGCUCACUAAACUAUAACUGACGCUCAUGCACGAAAGCGUGGGGAUCAAACAGG
RNAcentral lists this ribosomal RNA (253 nucleotides) under uncultured bacterium. RNAcentral's name for it is "partial 16S ribosomal RNA". It matches the Rfam family "Bacterial small subunit ribosomal RNA", at positions 524 to 776 of the family's 1533-position model. The record is from RNAcentral.